GGCCCCGUGGCGGAACGGCAGACGCAGCGGACUUAAAAUCCGCGGCCCGGCAACGGGCGUGUGGGUUCGACUCCCACCGGGGCCA
Molecule: transfer RNA, 85 nt
Filed under: Phycisphaerae bacterium
Lineage: Bacteria; Pseudomonadati; Planctomycetota; Phycisphaerae
Description: tRNA-Leu
Rfam family: tRNA
About the family: Transfer RNA (tRNA) molecules are approximately 80 nucleotides in length.
Source: RNAcentral